This is a long non-coding RNA of Danaus plexippus (monarch butterfly), 611 nucleotides long. RefSeq lists it as uncharacterized. The record is from RefSeq and is a predicted model, not a curated record. The transcript has 3 exons. Lineage: Eukaryota; Metazoa; Arthropoda; Insecta; Lepidoptera; Nymphalidae.
AAGGUUAAGGUAGCUAGGUUGGAUUUUAAAGUGAAAGGAAACGGAGAAUGAUUAUUUAGGAAGAUCGAUAUAACAUUUUGACUAAUAAACUAUGAGCUAUCAAUAUAGACACGUCAGUGGCAAAAUAUUCGACAAUUCUAGUGCGAAGCCAAAGCUUUUAAAGACUGAGCUGUUGAAUUUAACACAUUCACAAAUUAAUCCCGGAUCGUGUCUCCGCCAUACUGUGCCCGACUUUGGGCGGACGAAGGUCACAUUUAAAACAUGAAACCAACCAAUACUCAUCUUUUAUAGUUCUUGUAUUUUAUUUAAUAAUUUAUAUGAGACGAAAUUUCUCGUCAUUCCAUGGAUACACCGUGUGGUUGCCGGUCCAUCGCGUUGCAAGGAGAGGAGCUUCGACAGUGCCUGGGACUUGCGACUCAGCUGUAGGUUUAAGGGGCCCCUAUUUAACGUGUUACUUAUAUACAGAAAUUAAAAUGUAAUAUUAGUGACUACGCUUAUCAGGUUUACUCCUACAUUAUUUGCAAGAGAGUUAAUCUGACCUAAACUUGAAAAUUUUAUAAAAAAUAUCACUAAUACACUGCUAAACACAUAAUUGCUAAUUAAAACGUGAA